This 947-nucleotide long non-coding RNA is filed under the name Chinchilla lanigera (long-tailed chinchilla). Its description in RNAcentral is "lncRNA (ENSCLAG00000024843.1)". Lineage: Eukaryota; Metazoa; Chordata; Mammalia; Rodentia; Chinchillidae. The record is from RNAcentral.
GUGAAUUUGUAGAGGAAGUUCUUACGGUCCAAACUGAGAAAACGAGAAUAAAGGAAUAAUUAGCCUUAUUAUGUUCAAAUUUUUACAUGGAGAAUGAAUUUGCAUAAUACCUAAACACUUAAAUAACAAUAUGCCCCUGACAGGUUUCCUGGUUGUCUGCCACAACUCCUAGGAUUUCUGACUUUAGACAAGUUUUUGUUCAUCAGCUUAUGAAAAUAAAAAGCCUAACCACAGAGAAGACCCACCUAGAUGCCAGCCAUGCCUUUCUCUUUUCCAGUGCCAUAGAAAAGCAGGCGGAGGUGUGUUUAUCUACGCACCCCAAGUGCGGUUCUAAACACGCCCCUCUGGAGCUGCGCAUACAGCCUGGUCUGAGGCCUGGGGCAGGAUACGUGGCGCGGCCACUGGUCUUCCUCCACCUGCCCACACUGCUCCGGGAAGGGUGCCUUCCAUCUUUCCAUCACCGGAGCAUCAACCCCAUCAGACUGGAGGACGCAGGACACUAGCCCAGCACUUCGCCCUGAACAGGAGCUCGGGAUGAACUCAUUUUAUCGGUAAAUCCCCAGUGAAUUGAAGUGGACGCUGAAAACUGUAACACGUGACUUGAAAGAAUACAAGAAGAAUGUGGAGCGGGGCGGGGCAAUAGUCAUGUCUGAUUGAUGCUGUGGAAGUGAGAGAUGUGAACAUGAGGAGAAUUUUAGGAUCAGCUACUGAACCACUCCUCCCAUUUGGGCCCGUCAUUUCCCCUCCUCGUUUUCUCACUCAUUCAUUCAUUCGUCCAAAAAAUAUCUAUUAAAUGCCAACUAUAGACAGGGCUAGCCAUCAUUACUACUCGAUGAUGAUUACUACUAGGUGAUGAUUCUCUGUCAUCUAAUGAUACUAUGCAACACAAGGUCACUGUACUUCAUCAUGAUUUCCUCACAAAGCUGGGCCUCAAGUUUAACCUCAAG